CAGUUCACCAUGAUCUGUUCAGCUCACAGGAGCUGGUGGACUAUCUCACUCAGCUGGGAACAGCUGGAGGUCAGCUCAAUCCGGUGAAUGGUGCGUUCUGGUUCGGAUCAGUGUGGACGAGUCCGGGACGGUUACUGGGCGAGCCGAUGGUCCGGAUGCAGGACAGUUCGACCAAAUUGGUCUUAGGCUUGGGACAGGGAGUGGGCAAGCUUCC
RNAcentral lists this long non-coding RNA (214 nucleotides) under Brassica napus (rape). RNAcentral describes it as "long non-coding RNA (BNAP_LNC002742)". The record is from RNAcentral. Lineage: Eukaryota; Viridiplantae; Streptophyta; Magnoliopsida; Brassicales; Brassicaceae.